RNAcentral lists this ribosomal RNA (253 nucleotides) under uncultured bacterium. Its description in RNAcentral is "partial 16S ribosomal RNA". It matches the Rfam family "Bacterial small subunit ribosomal RNA", at positions 524 to 776 of the family's 1533-position model. The record is from RNAcentral.
UACAGAGGUCUCAAGCGUUGUUCGGAUUCAUUGGGCGUAAAGGGUGCGUAGGUGGCGCGGUAAGUCGGGUGUGAAAUCUCGGAGCUUAACUCCGAAAUUGCAUUCGAUACUGCCGUGCUCGAGGACUGGAGAGGAGACUGGAAUUCAUGGUGUAGCAGUGAAAUGCGCAGAUAUCAGGAGGAACACCGAUGGCGAAGGCAGGUCUCUGGGCAUUAACUGACGCUGAGGAGCGAAAGCAUGGGGAGCGAACAGG